GCCCAAGAGAUCGGGAUAACACCUGGAAACAGAUGCUAAUACCGGAUAACAACAGAUGAUGCCUAUCAACUGUUUAAAAGAUGGUUCUGCUAUCACUCUUGGAUGGACCUGCGGUGCAUUAGCUAGUUGGUAGGGUAACGGCCUACCAAGGCGAUGAUGCAUAGCCGAGUUGAGAGACUGAUCGGCCACAUUGGGACUGAGAUACGGCCCAGACUCCUACGGGAGGCAGCAGUU
RNAcentral lists this ribosomal RNA (234 nucleotides) under uncultured Lactobacillus sp. RNAcentral describes it as "partial 16S ribosomal RNA". It matches the Rfam family "Bacterial small subunit ribosomal RNA", at positions 128 to 355 of the family's 1533-position model. The record is from RNAcentral. Lineage: Bacteria; Bacillati; Bacillota; Bacilli; Lactobacillales; Lactobacillaceae.